AGAGUUUGAUCCUGGCUCAGAUUGAACGCUGGCGGCAGGCCUAACACAUGCAAGUUGAGCGGUAACAGAUCCAGCUUGCUGGAUGCUGACGAGCGGCGGACGGGUGAGUAAUGCAUAGGUAUUUACCCGAUAGUGGGGGAUAACCUGGGGAAACUCAGGCUAAUACCGCAUACGUCCUACGGGAGAAAGGGGGCUUCGGCUCCCGCUAUCGGAUGAGCCUAUGCCGGAUUAGCUGGUUGGUGAGGUAAUGGCUCACCAAGGCGACGAUCCGUAGCUGGUCUGAGAGGAUGAUCAGCCACAUCGGGACUGAGACACGGCCCGAACUCCUACGGGAGGCAGCAGUGGGGAAUAUUGGACAAUGGGGGCAACCCUGAUCCAGCCAUGCCGCGUGUGUGAAGAAGGCCCUCGGGUUGUAAAGCACUUUCAGUGAGGAAGAACGCCUGAUGGUUAAUACCCGUCAGGAAAGACAUCACUCACAGAAGAAGCACCGGCUAACUCCGUGCCAGCAGCCGCGGUAAUACGGAGGGUGCAAGCGUUAAUCGGAAUUACUGGGCGUAAAGCGCGCGUAGGUGGCUUGAUAAGCCGGUUGUGAAAGCCCCGGGCUCAACCUGGGAACGGCAUCCGGAACUGUCAGGCUAGAGUGCAGGAGAGGAAGGUAGAAUUCCCGGUGUAGCGGUGAAAUGCGUAGAGAUCGGGAGGAAUACCAGUGGCGAAAGCGGGCUUCUGGACUGACACUGACACUGAGGUGCGAAAGCGUGGGUAGCAAACAGGAUUAGAUACC
This 781-nucleotide ribosomal RNA is filed under the name uncultured bacterium. RNAcentral's name for it is "bacterial SSU rRNA". It matches the Rfam family "Bacterial small subunit ribosomal RNA", at positions 8 to 786 of the family's 1533-position model. The record is from RNAcentral.